RNAcentral lists this ribosomal RNA (237 nucleotides) under uncultured bacterium. RNAcentral's name for it is "partial 16S ribosomal RNA". It matches the Rfam family "Bacterial small subunit ribosomal RNA", at positions 43 to 279 of the family's 1533-position model. The record is from RNAcentral.
CAGGCCUAACACAUGCAAGUCGGAUGUGCCCGCAAGGGUGCAUGGCAGACGGGUGAGUAACGCGUGGGGAACCUACCUCUUUGUGGGGAAUAACGUUCCGAAAGGAAUGGUAAUACCGCAUGAGACCGUUGGCUGGGAUGCUGACGGUGAAACCCGGGGACCGCAAGGCCUGGGGCAAGGAGAGGGUCCUGCGUCUGAUUAGCUAGUUGGCGGGGUAACGGCCCACCAAGGCGUCGA